UACGAAGGGGGCUAGCGUUGUUCGGAAUCACUGGGCGUAAAGCGCACGUAGGCGGAUCUUUAAGUCAGGGGUGAAAUCCCGAGGCUCAACCUCGGAACUGCCUUUGAUACUGGGGAUCUCGAGUCCGGGGAGAGGUGAGUGGAACUGCGAGUGUAGAGGUGAAAUUCGUAGAUAUUCGCAAGAACACCAGUGGCGAAGGCGGCUCACUGGCCCGGAACUGACGCUGAGGUGCGAAAGCGUGGGGGAGCAAACAGGG
This 256-nucleotide ribosomal RNA is filed under the name uncultured bacterium. RNAcentral's name for it is "partial 16S ribosomal RNA". It matches the Rfam family "Bacterial small subunit ribosomal RNA", at positions 524 to 777 of the family's 1533-position model. The record is from RNAcentral.